UUAUGCCUACGGGAGGCAGCAGUGGGGAAUAUUGCACAAUGGGGGAAACCCUGAUGCAGCGACGCCGCGUGAGUGAAGAAGCAUUUCGGUAUGUAAAGCUCUAUCAGCAGGAACGAGACAAGACGGUACCUGACUAAGAAGCCCCGGCUGACUACGUGCCAGCAGCCGCGGUAAUACGUAGGGGGCAAGCGUUAUCCGGAAUCACUGGGUGUAAAGGGAGCGUAGACGGCUGAGCAAGCCUGAAGUGAAAGGCGGAGGCCC
Molecule: ribosomal RNA, 261 nt
Filed under: uncultured bacterium
Lineage: Bacteria
Description: partial 16S ribosomal RNA
Rfam family: Bacterial small subunit ribosomal RNA
Source: RNAcentral